This 2433-nucleotide unclassified non-coding RNA is filed under the name Hevea brasiliensis (rubber tree). The record is from RNAcentral. Lineage: Eukaryota; Viridiplantae; Streptophyta; Magnoliopsida; Malpighiales; Euphorbiaceae.
CUUGUGUUGGGUAGCCAUCAAGUGAAUAAAUUUGUCAUGAAGUAACCAACAUAUGUAAUUUCAUUACAAGCAUCACAUAAAAAUAGAAAGACACAAGUGCUCUCGAUCCAUAAAUGAGGAAGCAUAUGGCUGUAGAAACACCAGUGCUCCUCAAUCCAUACUCUAUCACAAGAAUAUAUCAUUAUGCCAACGGCUUGACUACACCAGGUGCAUUACACCGAAUGAAUAGAUGAGUGCUACCUGCUCCAAGUGUUUUGCACGGCAAAUAAAUAAUUAUACGGUAUCCUGAGUGUGUCACUCAUUUAUCGGUUUGGUGUAGCCAAAGUAUUUUCCGUUGGUUAUAUACAUUAACAGAGGAAGCAUAUCUUAAACAGCAUGAAUAAGCAAUCAGACAGUAUAUUCAAGAGUCUGGAGGACCAACUCAUCAUCCUCCUUUUGAUGCUUUCUUCUCUUUGUAAUGGAAAAUGGUUGAAGAAUGUAUCUUGACAAGCGGCUUAAAGGGUCCUGCAGACCUUCCAUUUCAUAGUGUCCAAAUCGCCAAUCUCUUUCAAUAAAAGGUCGCUGUAUAGGCUCAUCAAGCCCUCCUGCAUACAUUAAACCAUGUUUAUUAACUGCCCGAUAAAAUGGUCUUGUUCUUUUCUCUUUAGCAGCUCUUUGGAGGUCAUACCACGCAUGUGUCCGGUCUUCACGUGUAAUCUUACCAGUAGUCACCACCUUGGAAAACAAAUAGUAUGAGGGACGUGGGAUCCGUGCAAGACUAUUUUCACGAUCAACUGCCACAAGUCCAAACUUGGGACCAUAUCCAUCAGCCCAUUCCCAAUUGUCAGAAAUAGUCCAGAACAGGUAACCAAGCACAGGAACACCCAUGGCCAUCGCUGCAAAUACAGCAAGUAAAUGUUCCAACAGAUAUGGCCGACGAAUAAGAUCUGUAGCAUCAGAAACACCAUUCUCAGUAAUGAUGUAGGGCAGCUUUAGAUGUUUAUACCUCUCAUGGAACUGAACCAGCAUGCGGAAUAGGCCAUCAGGAUACACCCCACGUCCAGAUUCGCUAUAUUCAUCACUCUCCACUAGUUUAAGUCCAGCUCCACACACCACUUCCUGUCCGUAGUAGUUUAUGCCUAUGAAAUCCAACUUAGAAGAGAUACUAUCCACAUAUGGGAAAAUGGUAAGAGAAUUAGCCAGGGAUACAGCCGCAACAUCAAAGAGACCAUAUGGCCGCAUAAAUGAUACAUGGUGUGCCACACCAACUAAUGAAUUUGAAGAGGUCCUUUGUUGAUGGAUAUAGUCAUAUGCUUUUGCAUGCGCAACGGCCAUCCAAUGCAUGGCCUGGUUGAAAACACCAGUAGGCAAUGCAGAAGUGGCAACCUCCAACAUGUCAGGAUGACCACCAGGCCAAGCACCAGCACAAUAAGUUAGCAAACAAAACACAUGAGGCUCAUUAAAUGUCACCCAAUAGUCGACCAGCUCUGAUACACUGUCAACAACAAGCCUAGUAAAAUCCACAAAGUAAUCAACAGUUUUUUCAAGCUUCCAUCCACCAUAUUCACCAGCCCAUGGCGGCAAUGAGUGAUGGAAAAGGGUCAGCAUCACCUUCAUUCCAUAAGAACGAACCCUGUUGAUGAUCCACUUAUACCGCUCCAGAGCUGCAAAAUUUACAGUUUCUUUAAGCCCAUUGACAGGUUCCUCUGGCAUAACUCGUGUCCAAUCUAUUCCCAUUCGGAAAACACUAACGCCAGUAUUUUUUGCCAAAUUCAACUCCGUGCCAGGAUCGGACCAAAAUUUUAGCCUCUCCUCCGGGUGGGGAACAUUGUGCCAAGCAGCCACAUUAUGAUGGCAUUCUUCAUUUGGCACAGGCACUUCUUCCUCUGUGUACUUCUCAAAUCCUCUAAUCAUAGCUUCCAUAGCUAUCUUACGAUGCUUUUUCUUCUUAACAGGCUUAUUAACUUCUUUUCCAGAAACUGAAGCUUGCUGAGAUCCACCAUCAUCAGUAGCUGAACACAUCAGCGCACCUGCUGGUUCCAGGCCACGCUGUGAUAGUGAUUUGUCACAAGGGUUUUCCUCUGCAAACUGGAGCCAAGCAUCAUUGAGCCUGUCUUCAACAUGGGCUGGUGCUGUUGCCAAUCCAAAGAAAAACUCAUUUUCUUCUCCGCUAACAUUAAAAGACGCGAGAAUCUCAGAAGACUCAUCAAUUGGUGACUUGAACUGCCGGAGAUUCUUUCUCCGGUAACGCUCGAACGAGAACGCGUUGGCAGCGAUGGUAACAGUUGCCAAGACUCCGGCGAGCUUCGCAGCUGACACGAAGAGUGCCAAAAACGACAUUUUCAAGUAAAAACACAGCAGCAGAGAGUGAAAGAGCUUGAAAGUCCAAAAAUAACAGAAAAUUAAUAAUUGUCGAGGAUUUUUUUUUUUUUUUUUAAAUUAACUACGAUCCCA